Ciona intestinalis (vase tunicate) is the source of this 147-nucleotide non-coding RNA. Lineage: Eukaryota; Metazoa; Chordata; Ascidiacea; Phlebobranchia; Cionidae. The record is from RefSeq and is a predicted model, not a curated record.
AGAAAAGUCAGCGAAUAAAGCUGCCGAAGAAAAGCGCAAGACGAAGAACAAAGACGAAGACGCCAAUAUAAGGAUGCCGGUUUGAGGUGUUUGUAGGCUUAAGUGUGUAUAGGUUUACUAUAAGUGUGUAUAGGCUUAGUAUAGGUG